This 364-nucleotide small nuclear RNA is filed under the name Castor canadensis (American beaver). Its description in RNAcentral is "7SK RNA (ENSCCNG00000012888.1)". It matches the Rfam family "7SK RNA". From Rfam's summary of the family: 7SK was discovered as an abundant small nuclear RNA in the mid-70s but a possible function has only recently been suggested. Two independent studies have found that 7SK RNA binds the CDK9/cyclin T complex (known as elongation factor P-TEFb). Lineage: Eukaryota; Metazoa; Chordata; Mammalia; Rodentia; Castoridae. The record is from RNAcentral.
CCAUGUGAGAGGCUCUGGGAGCAAAAUCUGUCACCGCACUGAUCACAAAGGUUGAUACCACUGAUCUGACUGUAAGAGGAAGGGACCCUUUCCUCCCUUACUGCUCCAUGUGCAUCCCCCCUGCCAAAGCUGAGUGCUGGAUGGAAGAGAACAACCUUCCCAGAUAGAAGAGGACCCUUAUUCUCUAGUCAAGGGUAUAGGAGUGUCUGUACUCUUCUGGUAGGACCUUCAAACUUGCUGGCAAGAAAGAAUGAUGAGCUCUAAAACAUUUUGUGAAAGCAAAUUUAUAAUUACUGAUGAGGCUAUUAAAAAUAAAGGUUGACAUGCAUUGUUUUUAAUGAUAUGCUUCAUUUUAAGCAUUAGU